Molecule: non-coding RNA, 1231 nt
Organism: Dermatophagoides farinae (American house dust mite)
Lineage: Eukaryota; Metazoa; Arthropoda; Arachnida; Sarcoptiformes; Pyroglyphidae
Source: RefSeq, a predicted model, not a curated record
AAAAAAAAUAUGUCUAUUAAGGAUAACUUUUUGGGACAACUUUUUCCAACCAAAUUGAGUUUGGUAAUUUUUGUCGCUUACAUUUGUCUAUUUGUCAAUCAAGGCAUUCUGGUCAAAGCAAGUCAAAAUAAUGGAACAAAUAAUAAAUAUGAUUAUAAUAUCGUUACGGUUGUGAUUGGAACUGAAUUAAUCAAACUAGUUACAUCUCUAGUCUUGUAUUUUAAGGAUAAGCCAUCGAUAUGGCAAUUGUUCGAUGAAAUUAGAUCUGGUUUCCGUAUUGGUCUAUUAUACCUAAUACCAGCAUUUUUAUAUUGUCUGUACAAUAAUUUAGCCUUUAUCAAUUUGGCCAAUUAUGAUCCGACUACUUAUUUCAUAUUGCUACAAUUUCGAACUGUGAUAACUGGUUCUCUUUUUCAAAUUCUAUUCAAUAAGAAAUUAACUUCAUUGCAAUGGUUUUCUUUAUGUUUAUUGACGAUUGCCUGUAUGAUCAAAGAACUUGGACAUAGCAUAGAAUCUUCAUCAUCCGAUUCAUUCAACAUAUUAUCUGCAUUAAUGUCAAAAAAUCUUUUUCUCAUAAUGCUACAGCUUUUUUGUUCAUCUUUUGCCGGCGUAUACAAUGAAUUUCUCCUUAAAAAUGAUGGAAAUGCCGUACAUAUUAUUGUGCAAAAUAUUUUCAUGUAUUUGGAUUCAAUUCUAUGCAAUCUAGCAUUAUUGUUGAUAACAUCUAAUCCUUUGGCAAACAAUGGAGUUAUUUUUGAUUUAUCUGUAUUAUCCAAUUUGUAUGUAUGGUUCAUAAUGUUUAAUGGAGCAAUUGCUGGUAUAGUCACUUCAUUUUUUCUAAAAAAUCUCAAUUCCAUUCUCAAAACAUUUGCUUCUACAUUGGAGAUUCUAUUAUCGGCCAUUUUGUGUUCAUUAUUGUUCUCUACAAUCAUCAAUAUACAUACGAUAAUAUCAAUAUCGUUAGUUUUUCUGGCCAUUUAUAUUUAUGCAAUGAAACCUGUACAAAAUUUUCCGAUUAAUUCAUCAUUAUCAAAUCGAACAGACCAUAUGAACAUUUCGGAUGAUGUAAAACUUUUGAUUAAAGACUAAUCUGAUUAGAAUGAUUUAUUAUAAUUUCAGCAUUAUUGUAAUAUCAUUAUCAACAUUUAAUUAGUGUAGUCCAUUUCCACUCGAAUAGCUCCACAAAUGUGUAUUAAGCGUUGGUCUGCACGCAUUCAUGAUUUAAGAAUCC